AGGCCCAAGUCAUCCCUUAAGCCACAACUACGGUACAUCCCAAAUAACCCUCCCUACGGAACGUGAACGACGCUCCUCAAUCGCUCCCACGACUCCGUCGCGCCGGAGUUAAUCGCCGGCGGCGGCGGAAUUCUCACUCACCUAACUCAGAUCCUCAACCUUGUCGUUGCCUCCCUUCACUUGUUAACGGUGUCGUGGCGGAAAAAACACGAAAUACGGUGGAUGCUUCUCCACCCCCUGUGAACGAAUUCCAACACUGGCGAACAGGUCGCGGCGCCGCUGACUUAAUCAGUAUCGGUAGGAAUAAUCCAAAUCCGAAAUUGGAUCUCUAAUUCGAAGCUCGCUUCGACUCAUAUUUGUGCAUGCGUAACAUUAUAUAAAAAAACGAGAUUGAGGCUUACCGAUUUGACGUCAUUUGUGAGUUCUCUUGUUCAAUUCAAGUCGUGUCGUUGGUGACGUGCGGAUACCAUAUCCAUUGUUCUUCCUCAAUCGUGCGCAAACAGCAGGAGAUAACGAAAGGUGUCGACGACGGAGAACGAAGGCUCACCAAAUUUUAUCUUCAACUCGAACAGGAUGGCGAUGCUCUGUUGCAGCACCAAUGAAAACCAGUGGCUAGGAUGAAGAUGAGUGGGGACGGAGAGUUCUGGACGUUUUUUCCGAGCCCGGUUCAAGAGAGAAAACUCGUCAAUUUAUAAUGGAUUUUUGUUGCAGGUUGUAGCUGCAUUUGGUCUUGUUAAUUGUAGCAUUUGCUUUUGGCUAUGCGACGCCGUUUGUGGCCUUGAUUUCGCAGUUGUUUGAAGCUGGUAGUUUUGUGCAAUAGCUUUCAUCACCAUUUGUUUUGGCCGACUGUAGCCGUUUGGCUUUCGGAUUUGUUAUCAAUGAAGCGUGGCUUGGUGCAGCAGCGUUUGGUUGCAUCCGUUUUGCUCUUGGAACGGAUGACGGCGUUUGAACGUGUUAGCUGCAUGGAUGUUAUAACCUUGCAACUUUUGAAUGGUUUUGCAGCUCCAAUAUGCACUUGGUUUUGGAAUGUCUUUUUGCGGCUUUUCGGUGGUGUGCCUUUGGCGGCUUGGAUUGAUGAAGAUGAAUUUGGAUAAUAUGUUUUGGAUAAUGAAAUGUGUUAUGGAUGAAAAAAAAGGAUUAUUAAUUGAAAAAUGAAUUAGAAGAAAUGAAGUGAAUAAAAAUGGUUUAUGUGGAUUAAA
Molecule: long non-coding RNA, 1199 nt
Organism: Lathyrus oleraceus (garden pea)
Lineage: Eukaryota; Viridiplantae; Streptophyta; Magnoliopsida; Fabales; Fabaceae
Exons: 4
Source: RefSeq, a predicted model, not a curated record